UAAACACGAUUAGUCCCCCAGAGUCACGAGCAGUUGAAGUUCGCACUGAAAAGGAAGCGCACGAAACUUUUACCCUGUUUACUCUCGAGUAAUAAACUGGUGCGCUUCGACGCAGAUUUACCACUGUUGGUGUUUCUGUGUUUUAUUCCGACAGACCGUGUAAUAUUCCUGUUUACAAUUACCGUGGUCCUGCGACUCUUUCAUACCGGCGACGGGUAAAGAGAAUCAACACGUGAAAUAUUUUCUGUGAUAGGCUCCGGGCCACUGUGACCCUGACUUGGAGAAGCGGAUUCUUGUCGAGCGAGAACAAGAACUGCAGUAAAUUGCAUGUGCUGUAGGUGGAGCUCAAAUCCAAAAGGUUGAAGAAUGAACUGUUACAACUGAACAUGGUUGCAAAGGAUUAAAACAGCUUUAUUUAAGAUAUUAUUACUGAACUAAGAUUUAUGGGCACUUGAUAUUUUCCCCAGUGGAUUUGGAUAUGAUGUUCUACCAAACGAUAUGUGCAGUGUUUCUUCUGCUUUUAAAAUCUGACUUAUGUCCUCCAUGUGAUCGGGCUGAAUAUGAAAAAAAUGGAGAGUGUUGUCCCAUGUGUCCACCUGGAACCCGAGUUCACAGACACUGUACAGCGUACACCAGUACUACAUGUGUCCCAUGUAUUGGAGACACUUUCACCGACAAACCAAAUGGUCUGAUUUCCUGCUUUCCCUGUACAGUGUGUCAAAAAGGUCUUGGUGUGAAGACAGUAAAGGAGUGUACAGCCUCUUCAGACACAGUGUGUGGAGUCCUGGAAGGGAACUAUUGUAUUGAUCCUUAUGGGGGAGGAUGUAGAGCAGCACAGAAACACACAACCUGCAAACCUGGACACUUCAUCAAACACCCUGGAACAGACUCUACUGACACCGUGUGUGAAAUCUGCCCUGAAAACUCUUUCUCAGAUGGAUCUUCUACCUCCUGUACAUCACACACAGACUGUCAAUCCAAAGGACUUCCCACAGUGAAACCAGGAGACAGUGUGUCUGAUUCUCAGUGUGGAGAGAAGAAUUGGGCUCCUCUGAUAGUUGGGAUUGUACUUGGAAUAAUUUUAGUGUUAUUACUCGUUGGAGGAGUAAAACUGUACAAAUCACGGGUCUGUCCAAAGAAAAACAACUCCAGCAAACCAGGGCCCUUACAACAAGAUCAGGAAUGCCAACUGCAGCAAUCAGAAGAAAGUGAAGUUGUUCAGAAACAAAUUCCUGCUCAGAUUCUCAUAAAUUGUUAAACAAACCAAUAAACAAUAUUUUGCACAGAAUUAAAUACCUCACCUCAGCCUGUUGAGCAGAGAUCAGACAGUGAAGAUGUGACAGCUGGUGUUUUCGAAGCAGAAUGAGAAGGCUGUUAAGCCCAUGAAAUAUCAUCCACUGACUCAUGACCCAUAACCACUUAUCCGAAGAGUUUUAGAAGAAUUUCACAACAGAUGAAUCAUUGGAUAGAACAUUGAAGACAAGAAGUACAAUGAGAAAACUGGGACUAAUUCCUGUAAAACGGAUCCAUUGACUUUUCUGGAUAAACAGCAGUGCCAAAUGAAGAAUCCUGUUCUGUUUUCUUUCCCUUGAGCAAGUUUCAUCUGUACGAGUGGAAAGGGUCACCAACCUUUAUCUAUCAGCUUCCCACGUGGCAGAUGCCCUCAAGACAAGCAGAGCCGCUCUUCUACAGUAACUCUGAUUAAUAUGAUUAAUACUAAAUAAAAUCUAAACCUGACUGUCUCGACUGUGUUUCCCCCGCACUUUACACACCUUCCAUUUGACAAAACUGAACCCAGAGCUCUGAAUGCCGUGACAAACUGACAGCAAAGAAGACCAACUCUGCGAUGACAUCACAAGCCCAACCCUUUCUUCUAACUGACAAAUAACAUUCAUGUUUGUUUACCAGACAUUUGUUGGCCUACAUUUUGGUGAAUGAUAAACUGUCGAAUAAUUCUAUAG
This is an RNA transcript of Scleropages formosus (Asian bonytongue), 1961 nucleotides long. It is a transcript of the gene named tumor necrosis factor receptor superfamily member 5-like, with no coding region annotated. The record is from RefSeq and is a predicted model, not a curated record. The transcript is spliced from 13 exons. Lineage: Eukaryota; Metazoa; Chordata; Actinopteri; Osteoglossiformes; Osteoglossidae.